UACGGAGGGUGCGAGCGUUGUCCGGAAUCACUGGGCGUAAAGGGCGCGUAGGCGGCCUGGUAAGUAGGGGGUGAAAUCCUGCGGCUUAACCGCAGGGCUGCCUUCUAAACUGUCAGGCUCGAGCACGGUAGAGGCAGAUGGAAUUCCCGGUGUAGCGGUGGAAUGCGUAGAGAUCGGGAAGAACAUCAGUGGCGAAGGCGGUCUGCUGGGCCGUUGCUGACGCUGAGGCGCGACAGCGUGGGGAGCAAACAGGAUUAGAUACCCUGGUAGUCCACGCCGUAAACGAUGGGCACUAGGCGUCGGGGGGAGCGACCCUCCCGGUGCCGUCGCUAACGCAGUAAGUGCCCCGCCUGGGGAGUACGGCCGCAAGGCUGAA
This 376-nucleotide ribosomal RNA is filed under the name uncultured bacterium. RNAcentral's name for it is "bacterial SSU rRNA". It matches the Rfam family "Bacterial small subunit ribosomal RNA", at positions 524 to 898 of the family's 1533-position model. The record is from RNAcentral.